Molecule: long non-coding RNA, 344 nt
Filed under: Athene cunicularia (burrowing owl)
Lineage: Eukaryota; Metazoa; Chordata; Aves; Strigiformes; Strigidae
Description: lncRNA (ENSACUG00000015060.1)
Source: RNAcentral
AAAAAGGGUGGAAAGAAGAAGGGUUCUUCUUUCCAGACAGUCUCGGCUCUUUUUCGGGAGAACUUAAACAAGCUGAUGACCAAUCUACGGAGCACUCACCCCCAUUUUGUCCGUUGCAUCAUCCCAAAUGAAACAAAAACACCUGGUGCCAUGGAGCAUGAACUGGUACUUCACCAGCUGCGGUGUAACGGAGUGCUGGAAGGGAUCCGAAUUUGCAGGAAAGGUUUCCCCAGCAGAGUUCUCUAUGCUGACUUCAAACAGAGGUAAGAGCACUGCACUGCACUGCACUCCUCAGCAUCAUUAUAAGCAAUGUUGGUUCAUUCAGGCUGGACUCCUUUGUCAAA